GAGGAAAAAGGGUCAGUUGCAUCUCUAAAACCAAUUUCAACUAUCAAAACGAUAGUUAGGGUUUGUUUCAGUUCGAAGACGACGAAAGCCCUCCCAGCAAAAGCCCUAAGCCCCUUCCCCACUCGAUUCCGCGAUUUGAAUCGAACGAAUCACAAUUGACGAGGAAAGAGGCGAGUUCCUCUCUCUACCAAAUUCACGCUGUGGAUCUCUCACUCCGAUCAGGCAAUAAUGGUCCAACCCUUCAUCAGACAUUGAUUCAUGGAUCCUGAAGGCAAGAAGUUUGGAAAAGGGCCAAGAGAACUUACUGGUGCAGUAGAUCUUAUAAGUCACUAUAAGUUGUUGCCCCACCACGAUUUCUUCUGCAAGAGGUCACUUCCCUUGUCUAUUUCAGAUACCCACUACCUUCACAAUGUGGUGGGAGACACUGAAAUCAGGAAAGGGGAAGGGAUGCAACUGGACCAACUCAUUCAGGAUACAUCCUAUUCAAGAGGGGCAAAUGCUCGGAUUCAGCCCUUUGACCUAGAUGUCCUCAGAGAAGCCUUUCAACUGAGGGAAACUACUCCGAUUGAUCUUCCUCCUGCAGAGAAGGGGAUUCCUACUAGUGCUGGAAAAUCUAAAAGUGAGUCCAAAGACAAGGAGAGGAAGCAUAAAAAGCACAAGGACAAAGACCGAGAGAAGGAUAAAGAACAUAAGAAGCACAGGCACCGUCAUAAGGAUCGAAGUAAGGAAAAGGACAAGGAGAAAAAGAAAGAUAAAAGUGGGCAUCACGAUUCUGGUGCUGAGCCCUCAAAGAAACACCAUGAGAAGAAAAGGAAGCAUGACGGAGACGAAGAUCUUAAUGACAUUCACAGUCACAAGAAAAGUAAGCGUAAGAGCGCAAAGAUUGAAGAGACAGGCACCAUUAGGGUAGCAGGCUGAUAGAUGGCAUGUAGUCAAUUUUUUAUUUUUACUUUGUUCAAAUGUCACGUUGAAAAUUUGGAGGGUCCUUGCUUACUGUUGUGAAAUUUCUCGAGGACGCUGCACUAACUAAAGUUCAUCAAGAAGGUGAAUUCACCUGUCAAAGAUAUAAUGAACCGAAGGUGCAUAUAAAUUGAAACUGAACUACUUCUUUGUAUCAUAACUGAGGCCCUGAUAUAAUUUGCAGUAACAUGCAAAACUUUGUUCCUUUUUCUUAGUUUUAUCAGCAUGCUCAAUAUCUCAGCACUUGUUCAUUGAGUGGUUGCCAUUAUUGUGACUUCUUAGGAUUUGAUUUCUCAUAAUCAGUUGUAAUCUGCUUGUAGCUAGGAUAAAUGGAGGUGGUAGGUAAGGGUAGGUAUUUUUCCCUUCUGUCCUAGAGUUAACACCAACAUGUCUCCAUUGUACUAGAAAGGGAAGCCUUUCUAAGGUUUGGUGUUGUGUAUUUAUUUAGUUUGAGUUCUCAGGAAUUGGAACCGAGAGUGGGAGUUUGUAAACACAAAUAGAUUCUAAUAUAAUGGGGGUUAUAGCUUUC
Rhododendron vialii is the source of this 1489-nucleotide RNA transcript. It is a transcript of the gene named mediator of RNA polymerase II transcription subunit 19a, with no coding region annotated. The transcript is spliced from 7 exons. The record is from RefSeq and is a predicted model, not a curated record. Lineage: Eukaryota; Viridiplantae; Streptophyta; Magnoliopsida; Ericales; Ericaceae.